UCCGAGUUGACCCCGGCAGUCUCCUGCGAGUCCCCGCCAUUACGCGCUGGCAACACAGGACAAGGGUUGCGCUCGUUGCGGGACUUAACCCAACAUCUCACGACACGAGCUGACGACAGCCAUGCACCACCUGUAUACCGACCACAAGGGGGGCCACAUCUCUGCAGCUUUCCGGUAUAUGUCAAACCCAGGUAAGGUGGGGAUGACGUAGGAGGAAUUCCA
This 222-nucleotide unclassified non-coding RNA is filed under the name uncultured Nocardiaceae bacterium. RNAcentral describes it as "contains 16S-23S intergenic spacer region". Lineage: Bacteria; Bacillati; Actinomycetota; Actinomycetes; Mycobacteriales; Nocardiaceae. The record is from RNAcentral.